GAUGAGCGGUGGUGUAAUGGGUAAGCACGUGGGUUGACACCCUGAAGUUCUCGGUUCGAAUCCGGGCCCCAUCA
Molecule: non-coding RNA, 74 nt
Organism: Podospora conica
Lineage: Eukaryota; Fungi; Ascomycota; Sordariomycetes; Sordariales; Podosporaceae
Source: the annotation of a GenBank genome assembly